Herpailurus yagouaroundi (jaguarundi) is the source of this 253-nucleotide long non-coding RNA. RefSeq lists it as uncharacterized. NCBI's taxonomy places the organism in Eukaryota, Metazoa, Chordata, Mammalia, Carnivora, Felidae. The record is from RefSeq and is a predicted model, not a curated record. The transcript has 2 exons.
UUUCUGUGAAGCAAUUAGGACUCUGACCUCUGGGGAAGGAGGAGGGACCUGCUCCCCUCGGAGAAAUAGACCCAUCUUCUCUCUUCACCGGCUGGUCGAUUCAGAGUACAUGGUGAAGAUUCUGCAAACUCUUCCUGCAGACGCCCAGACAGCAGACAUCUCGGACUCAGCUCUGCCUGCCGUGGGCCAGAGUCCUGCAUAAAAGAAUGGGCGCAACUGUGAUCCAAUAAAACUUUAUUUAUGGACACCGGAA